Daphnia magna is the source of this 1522-nucleotide long non-coding RNA. RefSeq lists it as uncharacterized. NCBI's taxonomy places the organism in Eukaryota, Metazoa, Arthropoda, Branchiopoda, Diplostraca, Daphniidae. The transcript has 5 exons. The record is from RefSeq and is a predicted model, not a curated record.
ACCAGAACACGAGCCAGAAAAGUGCCCAUGCUAUCCGUUUCUUCCUGGCAAGAUGGAGGUUGGAGGAAUCCCCUGUUCCAAUUGGCGAGCGAACCCAAAGAAAAUGGCCGAUUCGUCCAUAAAGUACUACAAAGGCGGGGUAGAUUUUCGGACCCAAUUUAGUGUUGUUGUUGCAAGAAGGAAAGACGCUGCAAAAAUCCAUUCCAAUUUCAGGGUCAGGAAUGUCAUCAACUAAGAUGAAAUAGUAAAUGCGCCAUAUCCAGAAGGAAGCUAUGAUGCAGCCCACGAUAGGCCAACCAGGUUUGGCUUUCAUUGUAUGUGGUUGCAUCUUGACCACGCAAACGUAACGGUCAUAUGCAAUCAGACACAAAAUGAGUGCAUUACUCAAGAUGGCGGCGCUUUGCAAAAACGGGAAGCUGACACAACCGAGCCGUCCAAAAUCCUAGCAUUCAAAUUUUGAACUUGAAAAGCAAACAUGACUUGCAAACGUGCUGCUGACAGUCAACAAGUCACUUAGAGCUAGAGCUCCAAUAAGGACAUUGGUUUUCGACCACGACGAUCUAUAUAUGGAUGUGCAGGUAAAGAUUAUGAAAUAACGGUAUUCCUAGAAAAUCAAGCCAGGUGGACUUACCUGCGAAUGCCAAUGGCGACGAGCAUGCGCACAUUGCUGAUACUGGCCCAAAUCAAACACCCGACAAACAGCACCGUCAUCGAUACUUUAAACCAUACGGGAAGCACAAUGACGUCACUGAGUGCCACAUAGCCAUCGAGUCCGAGUACGUCGACAAUAUCGCUGAUGUUGACAUCGGACAAUUCCCAAACCUGAUGCAAUCAUUGGGGAACAAACGAAUGCCAAAUACGUUGUAAUUAUUGAAAGAAAAAAAAAAGGGAAAAAGAAUUCAAGUUAUUCACCCAUUCGCCAUCGGUUUUGUUGAUUCUUGCGAAGGAUUCCCCAAGCGUGACCAUUCCAGGACGCUUCGGCUCGGAGCAACUGUCGGUCCACUGAACACAAUCAUCUCAUCAGGGACACACGGAGUGAAUCCGGAAGCGCGACUGAAACCACAUCGCCCGAUUUGACGUCUAAUACCAUUAUCCGUAAACUUUUGUCUCACUUUUUUUUUCGUGCGCAAGAUCACCCGUAUGGUGUCCUCGUGCGUCGUUUUACCGUUGAACGCACACAAACCACGUCAAAAGGAAACCAUGCGGGACCUAUUUAGCCGAUAACACUGUUUGUUUACGGCCUGAUUAACCAACGUGGAUUAUCAGUAAUUUUUUUUCUUCCAACUUGUGGCUAUUGAUUUGUUUUGUUUUUAGAUUUCGUGAAUUUUCUGAUCUUUUUUUUUUUUUAUUUGAAAUGUAUUGAGAUUGAUCGGCACAUUUGAAGCGAUUGGAACUUACGCGAAUGUUCCGUAAAAUAAUUAUGGGACCAAAAUUGAAAUAUAAUUAGGUCGCACAGUAAAAAAAAAAUAUUAAUAAUAAUAAUAACAGAAACACAGGAGAAUUUUGGAAAAAAAAAGAUUCC